Long non-coding RNA from Cornus florida, 8418 nucleotides. RefSeq lists it as uncharacterized. The transcript has 5 exons. The record is from RefSeq and is a predicted model, not a curated record. Lineage: Eukaryota; Viridiplantae; Streptophyta; Magnoliopsida; Cornales; Cornaceae.
CCCCCCCCUCUCUCUCUCUCUCUCUCUCUCUCUCUCUCUCUCUAUAUAUAUAUAUAUAACACACACACACACACACAAGUGGUCCCAGUUUGAGCGUCCUUGGAGAUACUUCGGAAGCCGGAUGAACCGACCAACAUUGCCGAAAAACUUGAAGUCGAAGGUGUUAUCGUUGCUGAACAGAAAGGAACAAAUGCAGGAAAGAUUCCGAUUAAGCUGUUGGGGCUCGACUGCAGCUGUGGUGAUGAUUUGUGGCGACGUUGCCACCAAAUUUGUGUGUGUGUUUGUGUUUGUUUUGCAUUUACAAGAUGGAUUAUUGAAAGGUGUUGUUGGCUCUAGUGGAGGACCCAUGAUAAUUGCUGGGACUACAGAGGUAUUCUCGAAUCAUUUUGCCAAGAGAAUGGAUCCAUUCUCUUUUGUCAUGGCUCCAAGAUUCUAUCUUCAGGUUACUAUUGAAAACACAUUUGAUAGAGCUUAUAUAUAUGUAUUUUUAUUAUAGUUGUUGAACUUUCUAAUGUGGCACAAAAUUGGGGAAACUUGUGUCAGUGAGCCACCCAAGAAAGGGUGGGGUGGGUUUCCAGCUGCUUUCUGAAUUUCUGGAUUGAUUUAAGGGGAUUAAUUUGCUAUACAUCAACUGUUUUAUGGAUAAAAUUCUCCUUUGUUUUCAUGGACACAAUGCGUAAAAAUCCGGUUUAGGGAGUCGUUUCCUCUCACUUGCCGGAAUUUGUUUCCCCAUUUGGGUAAAUAUGUAGAACAGUAAUUUCAUUUUUAGAAGAAAUUAUUUUAUAUUAAAUGGUUUUUUCCUUUACACAAUAGUCUUUGAAUGGACAAGCAGGUGGUCACUGGAUAAACUAUAAACAUGCAAUAAGAGGAAAAUUUGAUGUAGUAUUUCUUUUGACCAAUGUUGAAGGGUCUCAAUUGAAGGGUACUGAAUUGUUUGUUUUGAUCUAUCAUUUUGGUUUAGUGUAAUUGUGUGUAUAAGAUACACAUACAUAAAUAUAGAUAAAGUAUAUAAUAUAUAUUUAUAUAUGUACUUAGUGAGAGGAGAAGAGCAAGGGUUCAAUUUUAGGACAUUUUGGUCACUUAAAAUGGGUCUCUUGGGGUAGUUAAGUCAUUUUAUACAUGAAACAAAGUCAGCACAAAGUCAAAAGGGUAGUAAUGUACCAAUGUCAUUUACACGUAAAAAGUGUUCUGGCACCACCUAACAGUGACUUUUGGGGUGUGUGAGCUACGAAUCAACUCUUUGUAAUGUGAAUGCAAGUUAAAAACAAAAUGUCUCUCCGUGUCAAAUUGCACCUAACCUCAGGGGUGCAUUGUAAUUUACCCUUAUAAUUAUUAUGUAUCUACAAACAUUCUUUAUUCAUGGAAUUUGAGACACAAAUGCCCCAACCCCAAGGUACAAACUCUCUUUGAGAUGAUGCAGCCACUCACAUGGUUGGUCCAGAACGUUGAGAGCAGGUUAGGGGCCUUUGUAUUGGAGCAACAAUUUCUAAACUUGAUGCAAAUGGUUAUCAGAAGGGGCAAGUGAAAGGAUAUGAGAUUAAAAAGCAAGAAUAAGUUGAUGAAAUAGUUGAAGCUUUAAAAUCUGAGCUAGCUGAAAUGAUGAAUAAAGAUGCAAGCUGAAAUGAUGGGUAAAAUGAAAGCUGAAAUGAUGAAUGGAAUGACUCAAUUAAAAUCCUUGUUGGUAAGUGUUACAACAAGCAUCCCAAUUUAUAAUGAAGUCAAACAUAAUUAUAUACAUAUUCUUAUCUGUCUAUAUGUCAUUUGAAUUUAAAGUACUAGUUCUGUUUAAUUCAUUUAUUUAUUUAUUUUUAGUCCCAAAAUGCUAGCGUGGGUUCUAAGUGCAAUGGUGCGCCAAGUACUUCACCUGAUCUACAAGGGUUUCAAUGUGAGAUGUUACACUGGAAUGGGUCAGUAGUAGUUGUUGCCAUGGUAAAAGUGCAUCAACGGAUCUCAAUGCGUUGGCAGAUCUGUGUUAUUGUUGGUCUGGAUUGCUGGAAAGUAUGGAUGAAUCAUGUCUUCGACAGUGAUUGUCCUUUGGACAAGGCAAGCCUAGCUCGAAGGUUUUAUCUUUGAGAGGCUCACACAACUGCAAGUGUGUGGCCUAGCAAAUUUUUGAAAAUUCUGUAGGAUACAUAAACAUUUGACAACCAACAGUACGUUUUAGGAGGAGAACAGCAGCUUGACUCUUGAAGGUUCAACCACUGAGCUUGGUGUUUAAUCCGUAGCAUCCCCCGCAAGAGAGAAACAUGGAAACUUAUCUCACUCAAACUUGGACAUGCACCGCAAAGGUAUUCCAUCUUUGAAUUGUAUGCUUGUAUGAGUUGGCAUUGGAAAACAGAUUGUCAAGAAAUGGUUUCUUACCAGAGACAGUAGUAAUGAUUUGAUAGAUAGCUAGGAAAUUAAAGAUUCUGAAAGCCCUUUCAUGGGAUGCCAAGUGCUGAAGUAAAAGUUUGAAUAUGGAUCCCGACUCGUGAAAAUAUAAUGGUUGCAUUAUAAUUUAUUUAUUUAUUUAUUUUUUUUUUUUUUUUUUCGUCUAGGAGGUGAGAGUGAGACGAGAGUUGUUCAACGAUGACCAUUGUGGCUUUUCUAAAGUCCAAUUGACAGCAACGGUUCACCGUCCAAUGUAGAGGAUUCUCCCUCGUGGAGAUAUCAUGCUUGGAUUAUAAUUUCUUCAAAGAUUGGAGUGAAAAAUCUCUAAUGAUACGAUACAACGCCUGUGUUGUCGGACAAUGGUUACACCGAGAGAGUUUUCCACCACUGACUGGCCGACAAUAGCUGUUUUACUCGCAGGGCAACCAUCGAAUGGGGCCUAGCCUGCCCAACAACAAAGAAAAAUCUACCCAAAUGGCAAUCAGGGUGCACUACCAGCAAAAGAAAUGUUAUUUUACUCUCUUUUUUUUCAAUGUAUAUUAUAUAAAUUUGCCUAAAAGGUGAAAAAAUAAGGACAAAUAUGACAUUUCAUAGUGUAAUGUUUCUGACAUAAGCACAUUAAACCUUCAGCUCCCGUUAAAAGUAAAAAUAAUAUAAACAUGUUAUAAUUACAAGGAGAGUAUAGCUAUUUGUCACUCUAAAAUAAUUCUCAAAAGUUUUAAAAACGGUUACUAUAAAAAUAUAUUAUUUUUAUAAUAAAAUCAGCAGGUUUUUUAUUUGUUUGAGCUGUUGCAAUUGCAAAAUAGCCAUUUGGCCUAUUAAAUUUUUUUUACACCAAAUUAUUAUCCUUUUAACACUCAUUUUACUGAAUUUUCAUCAUUCAAAUCUUUGGGAGUUUGACUUUUAGUCUUUCUAUCAAAUAAAAGAAAGAAAAAAAAAAACCUACAUAUUUCCAGAUAUUUAUUUCAAUUAGGCAACCCAUCUCAACCAUAACAUUUCUCAUAUCCCUUUAUCCGUGAAGGAGAUAGUGUAUAAUUUUAUAUAGUCGUUUAAAAAAAAAAAACUAUCAAAUCAUUCAAAAAAAUAAGUUUAAAAAAAUUUAUAAAAAAAAAUAAUAAAUAUUUAUUUAAAAAAAAUUAAGUGGCCGCAUUAAAUUCAUUAAUUAGAAUUAAUACUCAAUCCAUAUUUAUUUAUUUAUUUGAUUUUAGCGUAGGACAAGUCAUUCUUAUACUAGUAAUAUUUUCCAUCAGGCUUUUCGCAGAGGCUUAUGAUUUUUUGUGAGACACGGAAUCAGUGAAUCACCAUCCAAAAACCUUUAACUAAUACGUGAGACUGAUAAUUACUCCUCCACUCACAUUAUAUUCAUUCAUUUCUCCCUCGCACACCACACUGGAUGGGCCCCAUAUACCGCGAAAGUUUGGUGCUCUCACCUACCAAGGGUACUAUAUAACCAUCAACUCCCGUAACCCUAGUGCUCAUCGCAUUAAGCUUCAAUAAUACAUCCAACUCAUUCGAGAGCUAUAUACUACUUUCAGCCUCGAGAAAAACGACGAAGGUAUAGAGCUGAUCCAUCGACAGCCGGAAUCCUCGCCUGGCAUGAGGUGAAGAUUAUUCAAGAGAUUAUAAAAGAAUUUGGGGCAUAUAUUGUUAAAUGUUGACAAGCACCAAUUGGGGAUGGAUUCCCGUGAACAAAGUGAUCACUUUGCUAGACCAUUGAUUAAAUGAUGUACGCGUUGUGUGGAAUUGGGGAAUUGGCUGAAUAGGACAGACAACCAUUGCCAAAGCUAUUCAACCGAAUAUUUAAUCAAUUUGAAAGUAUUUGUGUCCUUGAAAUUGUGAAAAACAAUAUUGCUGAAGUUCUUGUAGAUACGUUAAACCAUUUUGUUUUGAAACUUCUAUCAAAUUUAAAUUGAUUGAAUAUUUGUUCAAAAUAGGUUUGGCAAUGGUUGUCUUUCCUAUUCCACCAAUUCCACAAAUCCUCACAAUGUGGAAUCCUUUAAUUCCUUGUCUAGCGGCGUGGUCACUUUAAAUUACUUGUUUAUAGGAAAAGAGACAAAAAUAUCAAGACUUGCGAGGUAAACAAAAGUUGCUACACAAGUUCCAAAAGGCUGUGCUCGUUUAGGGGACAAAAUGGUAAGCGACACUUAUUCCAAAAUUGUACCAUUUUAUAAGGCAUUAUGUUCCCAUAUAAGGGGAUGGUCUUGCAGUGAGUCUUGCACAUACAUUGACUCUUGGUAAAAUGUAAUUAAAAUGAUGGUCAUGUUGUAGUAAACUUGUCUUUUUUGCAUUAUCAAUUUUUUUAUUAUUAUUUUUUAUUUUUUUUCUCUUCUGGAAUGUAAACUUGUUGUAUAGAUAUAAGAAAUGUACAAGUGGGCCAAGCCCAAACGAAAACAGGCAGGAACCCCAACAAACAUUGCCCAAGCAUUGGAGGGAAAAAUAAGAGGUACUCUAUGGAAGCUUUAACAAUUUAUGGACUAGUUGUAGCAUUAGCACUUUUAUUUGCAAAUCCUUUUGUUUAAUUCUAGAAAUAUGAAAAAUAUGUAUUUUUCAUAUUUUAUUGAGCCUAAACAAGAAUGAUACCCUACAUCAACAAGAGAGAACAUACAACAUUGAUCAAUGACAUUUCUAGUCUAAAUAUCUAGACUAUUGAUGUCUAUGCAAAAAGACGAUCCGGUGAGCAAUAGAGGCGCGGCGAGUUGGUACUUGGCCCCCGAUCUCUCAAUCUGGCUCUAGUGGUGGACGCACGAAGCUAGAAGGAAGGUCCCAAUCCAAUUGUAAGCGCAUGGCAUCAACAAAGUCCUUCACAUGCCUCUCCAUAUUCGGUUAAUCGUGGUGGAGAGCACGAGUUUGUUGACGGAGAUGAGAAGCUACCUUCCUCGCCAACGAUUAGAGGCUCGAGCAAUUAAAUCACGCCAUGAGGGUGCGGAAAAUUAAAUCGGCUCUUCUGUUGGAGUACAGCCCAAAUCGGUCGAAUGAAUGAACAUUCAAAGAAGAGGUGGUCGUGCGAUUCAUCCACCGAUUGACAAAAAAGACAAAGCUUUGGGCCUGGUGCCGAUUGCAUACAACUGCGAUCAAGUGUAGAGAGGCGCUUCUGCACAACUAACCAGAGCCUGAACUUGGAUCAUUUUGGUACCGACAAUGAAUUCCAUACAAGAUGCUGCCAUGGAACUGGUUGGUGGUGAGGGGCAAGCCAUUGAAUUGUGUGGCUGACUGUGAAAAACCCCAGUUGGAGAGUGGAUUCAACUAUAAGAAUCCGGUUUGCUGCCAGGGGCAUCAAUAUGGUUAAGUUUCGGAACUAGUUAUGUUAUCGCAUUUGGGAAGGUUCACUCAUUGUUCUGCACAAAUGAAGAAAGCUUCUGGCGUAGAGGGAUGCCUUAGUUAAGGAUCGCAUCUGGGGAGAAACGUAGGGUAAGAGGCCCUCCUUGUAACCAAUUCUCCUCCCAAAAAAAAGUAUGAUCUCCUCUUCCCUUCACCUGCUCAUUGUCCUAACCACGUCCCUUGGUUGUAAAAUCCUCUUCCAAUUUGAAGAGCAUACUAUAAACAUCUAUUACGUAUUAAUUGGAUUCUAACCCAUUGUGCCCAAAUGUUAUCUCUCCUGUUAGAAAUAAUAUUCCAUAGGUGCUUCAAAUUGGCAGCCGUAUUUGCAGUGCUUAGACUUCUGAAUCCCAGCCCCCCACAUUCCUUAGGUUGGCACACAGCAGACCAUGUAACCUUGGCUCCUGUACACUUGUUAUCAGUUCCAAUCCAUAGGAAAUUUCUUAAAAUCUUGUUGACCUCGAUUACUGACAUAAGCAAGAUGAAUAAGCUUGACUAGUAGUUAAGCAUGCUAUAUAGAGCCGACGGAAUGAGUUGGAUUCAUCCAAUAUAGGAGGUUAGAGGACCAGUGAGGAACCCUGCGAAUAAUCUUUUCAAUUAGUCCUCUACAAUCUGUGAUUUUAAGUCUAGUUGAAAGCAAUGGCACUCCUACAUACUUGAUAGGUAAUUCUCCAGAGUCAAAUCCCAGUAGAGUUUUGAUAUCAUUAACCAUGGUGCUUUCUACCCUUGAUUUAAAGAAAACACCUUUUGAGUUGUUUACAUUUAGACCAGAUAGGGUAGAGAAUUGUUUAGGUGCCUGCUUGAGUGUGGAGACGGAUAGUAGAUCCCCAUGGCAGAAUAAUAAGAGAUCAUCAAUUAAGUGAGAGAUGACUAGGUUCUUGCACUUGGAGUGAUACUUGAAGUAGGGCCUCUCGGCAAUAACCUUGGUAAUAAUGGAGUAAAAAACUUACAUUGCUAACACUAAUAGCAAAGGAGAGAUGGGAUCUCCCCUGUCUUAAACCUUUGACCAUCUGAAAAUGGUCAUUGAACUCCCCCAUUAAUGGACACGGUAAAUGAUAGGGUUGUGAUACAUGCUUUGAUCCAGCAAACAAAAGUAGGUGGGAAACUAAAUAGAGAAAGAGUAUCAAGCAUAAAGUCUCAACCCAUUAAUUUCUACACGGUUUGAUGAUUUGGAAAGCUCAUUCAGAUAUCUAUGUAUUCCAUGUUUUGAGAACAGGACAUUGUCACCUCAUUGGGCCAAGCCCCAAAGCAAGGCCCAAAUAUGUUAAAAAUUGCAAAUCUGUGCAGCAUUCGUAUUUUGGACAUAACUUAUCGCUCAGAAAUCUGAUCCAGGUGAUUCUUACGGCCACGAAAAAAGGAUCAAUGAAUAAGAGUACAACAUUCUUCAAGAUACAAGAACUCAUUGAAGCUUGUGGUUCUCAAAGAAAGAAGAUAGAUUCAUUUGCAAAUGAUAAUACUAACCUUUGAAGCAUUAAUUAUUUGGACAAUUGGUUACUUGGUUCUUCAUUGCAACUUCAUCCCCUAGCCUUAACUAAAGUUAUACUCUUUCAUUAAGAAUACAACAUUUAAUAUGUAAAACAUUUCUAUUAGAAAUCUGAAAAUGUUUACAAGAAAGCUCUUUAAGAGCUAAUGAAUCAAGACUAAGAAUAUAAUUUAAAAUUAAGUGUCAAAACUUGGCCCUUUCUUCCUCCUUAUAUAGGAGAAAAAUACAAUAAAAUAAGCUCACAAGUUGUCAAAAAACAUGAUCUAACAUUGUGCAGUUUUGUGCUGAGAGUUAUGACCAAAAUGCCAAGGUAGCCUUCAGUUGGCAGACAAGCUUGAUUUUGCCUCUUAGGAUGAGAAAUUCAAGAUGAACUUGUCCUUCCAUUUUUUUUGAUAUCCAUGAUAUUAUGACUUGCUAGGAUACCUUCAAAAUAAGAUUUAUCAUCCUCCUAGAAGUAUCAUGCAUGUAUGAGCAUUGGACACUUGUCUCAAGAUCACAUUAGUAGAAAUCUGCCCAGAAAAUGUGCAUAGAAAAAUGCUAUUUUGUUAGCCGAAUUUGACCCCCAAGAUGUUGAAUUUAGAAAAUCAUCAUAACUGGGAAUACUUAGAGCUUCUUGUCUUCUUUCUAUGGCCGCAAGAAUUACCUGAAUCGGAUUUCUAAGCGACAAGUUAUGUCCAAAAUACGACCGCUUUGCAGAUUUGCAAUUUUGGACGGAUUUGGGCUUUUCUUUUUAGGCUUAGGGGAUGAAGUUGCAAUGAAGAACCAAGUAACCACUUGUUCAAAUAAUUAAUGCUUCUAAGGUUAGUAUUAUCAUUUGCAUAUGAAUCCAUCUUCUUUCUUUGAGAACCACAAGCUUCAAUGAGUUCUUGUAUCUUGAAGAAUGUUGUACUCUUAUUCAUUGAUCCUUUUUUCGUGGCCGCAAGAAUCACCUGGAUCAGAUUUCUUAGCGAUAAGUUAUGUCCAAAAUACGAAUGCUGCGCAGAUUUGCAAUUUUGAACAUAUUUGGGCUUUGCUUUUGGGGUUGGCCCAACGAGGUGACAAUGUCCUGUUCUCAAAACAUGGAAUACAUAGAUAUCUGAAUGAGCUUUCCAAAUCAUCAAGCCGUGUAGAAAUUAAUGGGUUGAGACUUUAUGCUUGAUACUCUUUUUCUAUUUAGUUUCCCACCUACUUUUGUUUGCUGGAUCAAAGCAUGUAUCCCAACCCUAUAUUAUGAACAACUUAAAGGACUAAAUUAUGAACAUAAGAGAGCU